GACGAACGCUGGCGGCGUGCCUAAUACAUGCAAGUCGAACGCACGACAUCGGGAAGUUUACUUUCUGGUUUAGUGAGUGGCGGACGGGUGAGUAACACGUGGGUAACCUGCCCAUUAGAGGGGGAUAACACUUGGAAACAGGUGCUAAUACCGCAUAAUUAUUUUAAUCGCAUGAUUGAGAUAUGAAAGACGCUUUCGGGUGUCACUAAUGGAUGGACCCGCGGUGCAUUAGUUAGUUGGUAGGGUAAUGGCCUACCAAGACGAUGAUGCAUAGCCGACCUGAGAGGGUGAUCGGCCACACUGGGACUGAGACACGGCCCAGACUCCUACGGGAGGCAGCAGUAGGGAAUCUUCGGGCAAUGGGACGAAAAGUCUGACCGAGCAACGCCGCGUGAGUGAAGAAGGUUUUCGGAUCGUAAAACUCUGUUGUUAGAGAAGAACAAGUGGGAGAGUAACUGUUCCCGCCUUGACGGUAUCUAACCAGAAAGCCACGGCUAACUACGUGCCAGCA
This 511-nucleotide ribosomal RNA is filed under the name uncultured Bacillota bacterium. Its description in RNAcentral is "bacterial SSU rRNA". It matches the Rfam family "Bacterial small subunit ribosomal RNA", at positions 28 to 513 of the family's 1533-position model. Lineage: Bacteria; Bacillati; Bacillota. The record is from RNAcentral.